UACGAAGGGGGCUAGCGUUGCUCGGAAUGACUGGGCGUAAAGGGCGCGUAGGCGGAUGGCACAGUCAGAUGUGAAAUUCCCGGGCUUAACCUGGGGACUGCAUUUGAUACGUGUUAUCUAGAGUGAGGAAGAGGGUCGUGGAAUUCCCAGUGUAGAGGUGAAAUUCGUAGAUAUUGGGAAGAACACCGGUGGCGAAGGCGGCGACCUGGUCCUUUACUGACGCUGAGGCGCGAAAGCGUGGGGAGCAAACAGG
This 253-nucleotide ribosomal RNA is filed under the name uncultured bacterium. Its description in RNAcentral is "partial 16S ribosomal RNA". It matches the Rfam family "Bacterial small subunit ribosomal RNA", at positions 524 to 776 of the family's 1533-position model. The record is from RNAcentral.